RNAcentral lists this non-coding RNA (24 nucleotides) under Arabidopsis thaliana (thale cress). Lineage: Eukaryota; Viridiplantae; Streptophyta; Magnoliopsida; Brassicales; Brassicaceae. The record is from RNAcentral.
AUGUCCCUAUUUUGUUAGCUUUGU